UUGCCCAGACAACUAGGAUGUUGGCUUAGAAGCAGCCAUCAUUUAAAGAGUGCGUAAUAGCUCACUAGUCGAGUGACACUGCGCCGAAAAUGUACCGGGGCUAAACAUAUUACCGAAGCUGUGGAUUAUCCGUAAGGAUAAUGGUAGGAGAGCGUUCUAAACGUGUCGAAGCAUGAUCGUAAGGACAUGUGGAAUGUUUAGAAGUGAGAAUGCCGGUGUGAGUAGCGAAAGAUGGGUGAGAAUCCCAUCCACCGAUUGACUAAGGUUUCCAGAGGAAGGCUCGUCCGCUCUGGGUUAGUCGGGACCUAAGCCGAGGCCGAUAGGCGUAGGCGAUGGAUAACAGGUAGAUAUUCCUGUACCACCUAUGAUUGUUUGAACGAUGGGGGGACGCAGUAGGAUAGGCGAAGCGUGCUGUUGGAGUGCACGUCCAAGCAAUAAGACUGAGUGUUAGGCAAAUCCGGCACUCGUAAGGUUGAGUUGUGAUGGGGAGUUGGAUCAUGUAUCCGACGAGUCGUUGAUUUCACACUGCCAAGAAAAGCCUCUAGUUAGAAAAUAGGUGCCCGUACCGCAAACCGACACAGGUAGUCAAGAUGAGAAUUCUAAGGUGAGCGAGCGAACUCUCGUUAAGGAACUCGGCAAAAUGACCCCGUAACUUCGGGAGAAGGGGUGCUUUUUAGGGUGCAAGCCUUGAAGAGCCGCAGUGAAUAGGCCCAAGCGACUGUUUAUCAAAAACACAGGUCUCUGCUAAACCGUAAGGUGAUGUAUAGGGGCUGACGCCUGCCCGGUGCUGGAAGGUUAAGAGGAGUGGUUAGCUUCUG
Molecule: ribosomal RNA, 818 nt
Filed under: Mammaliicoccus sciuri
Lineage: Bacteria; Bacillati; Bacillota; Bacilli; Caryophanales; Staphylococcaceae
Description: Staphylococcus sciuri partial 23S ribosomal RNA
Rfam family: Bacterial large subunit ribosomal RNA
Source: RNAcentral